CGAACGGGUGCGUAACACGUGAGCAACCUGCCGAUCUGAGGGGGAUAGCCGGCCCAACGGCCGGGUAAUACCGCAUACGUUCUUGAGAGGACAUCCUCUUGGGAAGAAACCUCCGGGGCAGAUCGAGGGGCUCGCGGCCUAUCAGCUAGUUGGCGGGGUAACGGCCCACCAAGGCGACGACGGGUAGCUGGUCUGAGAGGAUGGCCAGCCACAUUGGGACUGAGAGACGGCCCAG
Molecule: ribosomal RNA, 235 nt
Filed under: uncultured bacterium
Lineage: Bacteria
Description: partial 16S ribosomal RNA
Rfam family: Bacterial small subunit ribosomal RNA
Source: RNAcentral